AAUCUUUACAUUUUCUAAGGAGACCGUGCUUUCUUCUUCUUCUCCAUCUCGUCUAGGUUUUCGAUUUGCUUUCUCUCGGUUCGGGCUCAUCUACGUCGUGGUUUUGGGAUCGAGCCUUUCUUCCUGUUCUUGCAAUUCUUGGCCGGCAAUCCCGCCAAAUCUAGUCGCCUGGAGUCGUUCCGUCUUGCCCCUGGAACCAAACCUCUUUUUAUUGUCGAGUCCGAGCAGCGGACCGCACAGUCAUGGACGGCUUCAAACUCGAUGCACCGCGGCAAUACUUUGCCACAAGCAGCCUUGUCGUUGGCUAUGCCCUCUGUUCCAGCUUGCUCUCUGUUAUCAACAAGUUUGCUAUCACAAUGUUCGAUUACCCUGGCCUCUUGACGGCAUUGCAGUACCUGACCUCCGCGGUUGGCGUUUGGGUUCUUGGGAAGCUGGGCUUUCUCUAUCAUGACCCUUUCGUCUUUGAGACGGCCAAGAAGUUUCUGCCCGCCGCUACCGUCUUUUACCUGGCCAUUUUCACAAACACCAAUCUCUUACGCCACGCUAACGUUGAUACGUUCAUAGUGUUUCGCUCCCUGACGCCUCUUCUGGUUGCCAUCGCGGAUACCAUCUUCAGAAAGCAGCCAUGCCCUUCAAGGCUCACGUUCUUUUCGCUUGUGGUUAUUCUCGGGGGCGCAGUUUGCUACGUGCUGACCGACUCAGCGUUCAAUCUCACUGCGUACUCAUGGGCGAUUGCUUAUUUGGUGACUAUUACUACCGAGAUGGUUUACAUAAAGCACAUGGUGACAAACCUAGGACUGAACACAUGGGGUUUUGUGUUCUACAAUAAUCUUCUGUCCUUAAUGAUGGCACCGGUGUUCUGGUUUGUCACUGGGGAGUAUGCAGAUGUCUUCACAGCUUAUGGAUCAAGUUCUGGGAUUUGGUUCAAUAUCAUGACUUUUGUUGCAGUAGCUUUGUCUUGUGUUUUCGGAUUUCUCAUCAGUUUCUUUGGAUUUGCGGCAAGGAAAACAAUCUCUGCUACUGCAUUUACGGUAACAGGGGUUGCCAACAAGUUUCUCACGGUGGCGAUCAAUGUAUUGAUCUGGGAUAAGCAUGCAAGCAAAAUUGGUUUGAUUUGCUUGCUUUUAACACUUGUGGGGGGAGUUCUGUAUCAGCAGUCAGUCACUAGCAAUGGGAACCUCUCACAACAGCAUGGCUCUGCAAUUUCUAAGAAGGCAAAUGGUGUGGUACGUAAUGUUGAUUCUGAAGAUGAAAGACAUGACAAGCGCCUAUCUGGGAGGGAUUCAACUGUAUGAUAUCAGUCUAGCUUUUGUUCACUGGAAAAAAGGGGCCAGAAAUGAGUUCUAACUUCUAAUCUGAACACUAUUCUUCCUUUAAUGGGCCAACCUCAUCAGUGACCUUGCAAGGUGAACAUGAAACUAUGGUGGAGGCAUGCUUGUAUUCGUCCAAGCAGUACCAGUUAUCACUUUAAUGUGGUGGAAGUGUUCCAAGUUAAACACUGAAGGAGCAUUCGAGUUUAUAACACAGAAGCUUCUUUUAGAGAGGAUGGAUUAAGAACUGCUAGACAUUGGCCUAUGAUUGAAUUCUGACCUGUAGGGCUGUAUGUUCAUGUAUGUGACUGGUGCAAAAUUAUUUUUGUUGGAAUUCAAGUAGCCACUACUAUCUGAUUUGGAAUCUAAAAUACCCAAUUAUUGAUGAUUAAGAGUUUGGUGAUGUCCUACAGCUUGUUGCACAUAAGAAUUGAGAUUACUAAGGAAGUGGAGAUAGCUAAUGCCUUAUUUUCUACAAGCGUUCAUAAGUCUUACAGCUGAGGAAAUAUCAGAUUAAGCUGCUUACGCAAGUAGCUGUAAAGGAUAAGAAACCCAGGUGAGAAUUCAGACCCUUUUCUGUAUCUGUUUCUCUUUAAUGUUUUCUUGGACUUAAAUCUUCCCCGUCUAGUAAAUUUUCUUAGAUACAUGUACCACUGAAAAGUCUAUGGAACAAUGAAAACAACAUU
Musa acuminata subsp. malaccensis (wild Malaysian banana) is the source of this 1996-nucleotide non-coding RNA. The record is from RefSeq and is a predicted model, not a curated record. Lineage: Eukaryota; Viridiplantae; Streptophyta; Magnoliopsida; Zingiberales; Musaceae.